This is a long non-coding RNA of Entelurus aequoreus (snake pipefish), 518 nucleotides long. RefSeq lists it as uncharacterized. The transcript has 3 exons. NCBI's taxonomy places the organism in Eukaryota, Metazoa, Chordata, Actinopteri, Syngnathiformes, Syngnathidae. The record is from RefSeq and is a predicted model, not a curated record.
GAUUGAGCAAUUUGUUUAAUGGACAAUGGAGACUGCAAAUGAGAAAGUUGGAGCCGGUGGAGCAGCGGACUACAGCAACACCAACACCAGGAGGUUGUGUUGUGUUUUGAGCAGGAUAACAGACGCACUACGACCAUAGGGCGCACCAGAUUAUCGGCACAGACUACAAAGGCGGACGCAUGGAGAUUUUCAGGAUUUAUGCAGAUCCCAAAUACAGAUCAGCAGGUACCAGAAGGUUGAGAUGAAAUUGUGUCCAUCAUGAUGAGCCACAGUGUAGUCCAGUGUCUUCCAGUGGCCCCCUUCUGUGCUGACAGCCCACCGCAGUGACACAAAUGAGCGAGAUUCUUCAAAGCUUUCUCUCUCUGUGCGGCCCCUCCAUGCCAUUCAUUCUUUUCUUCUCAAAUAUCGCCCGAUGAAUGACAGGAAAGGAUGGAUGGCCCUUAAAUGAGGCCGCUACCGACUUGUCCGCUGGGCUUCCUGCUCCAUCAGCACAUCCCCAAACAGAGACAGACAUAACA